This 21-nucleotide small RNA is filed under the name Arabidopsis thaliana (thale cress). Its description in RNAcentral is "ATSL251250". The record is from RNAcentral. Lineage: Eukaryota; Viridiplantae; Streptophyta; Magnoliopsida; Brassicales; Brassicaceae.
AAAAAAAGAAGAAGAUAUAAU